Molecule: long non-coding RNA, 288 nt
Organism: Chiroxiphia lanceolata (lance-tailed manakin)
Lineage: Eukaryota; Metazoa; Chordata; Aves; Passeriformes; Pipridae
Exons: 4
Source: RefSeq, a predicted model, not a curated record
CUCUGGCCCGGGAUUGAAGGGCUUUUCCCUGGAAUUGUGCCCCGGCAGGAGCGGGAGGACGAGCUGCGGGCCAUGGCCAGGAAGAUCCGGAUGAAGGAGCGGGAGCGGCGGGAGAAGGAGCGGGAGGAGUGGGAGCGGCAGUACAGCCGCCAGAGCCGCUCCCCGUCCCCGGCACCACGGCACGGUCGGGAAUACAGCUCUUCCCGGAGGCAUUCCCGCUCCCGCUCCCGGAGCCCCCACUACCGGCACUGAGGGGGCUCCUUGGAAUCCAAUAAACCCACAAAUCCA